CAAAGGUUUGGAGGGCAGAGGCCAUAGCUUCUCUUUCCCUACCUGCACCCAGACUCCUAUGUCCAGGGUGAAGGCGAGUGAAAGAAGGUGACCGAGCCAGAAGGAGAGAGCACAGAUGACUUGGUGAUGGUAUGGUAUGGUGAGUUGUGGGGAGAAAGACGGGGGUGGUACAGAGGUUGGGAUGGGUGGAAUGAGGACUCUGUCUUCCUCUUUUCAUUUCACUAUGGAUGAAGGAGAAAGAGAGAAAAAGAGAAAGAGAAAGAGAGAAAGGGGGUGGGGAGAGAAGCGAGACAGAUGGCAGAGUGGAGAGGCGGCAGCCAGUGCCGGCACUGCCCAGCUUGGGCGGACCCAGCUUCCCCCGCCUGCCAGCUCUCCAAAUGCCACCCUUCCCCCAUCUUCCCCUCUCCCCAUCCCCCCAGCUUGGCACUGAUCUCAGGGAGAGAGAGGGAGGGAGGCUGGGCAAAGAGCAUCUGUUCCCUCCAUUCUCCUAGCUCCAUCGGCUGCCAACCUAAGGCCAUCGCCUGCCUCCAUCACCCCUUCGCCUGCCUGCCUACCACCCAAUCCCAAAUGGGUGCUGGAUCAGGUGCCGAAUCUGGCUGCCUCCUCGGGUCCUCCUUCUCAUCACUUCUUAGGCAUGGAGAGAUGAAGGACAGAUGGAGAGAUGAAGGACAGAUGGAGUACCGCACAAGGAUACAAUGGAGGAAGCAGGCCAUGACUAAGACCCCAAGGAUGAAGAAUGGAGAGCCCUGA
RNAcentral lists this long non-coding RNA (750 nucleotides) under Mus spicilegus (steppe mouse). Its description in RNAcentral is "lncRNA (ENSMSIG00000017550.1)". The record is from RNAcentral. Lineage: Eukaryota; Metazoa; Chordata; Mammalia; Rodentia; Muridae.